CCUACGGGAGGCAGCAGUGGGGAAUCUUAGACAAUGGGCGCAAGCCUGAUCUAGCCAUGCCGCGUGUGUGACGAAGGCCUUAGGGUCGUAAAGCACUUUCGCCUGUGAUGAUAAUGACAGUAGCAGGUAAAGAAACCCCGGCUAACUCCGUGCCAGCAGCCGCGGUAAUACGGAGGGGGUUAGCGUUGUUCGGAAUUACUGGGCGUAAAGCGCACGUAGGCGGAUUGGAAAGUAUGGGGUGAAAUCCCAGGGCUCAACCCUGGAACUGCCUCAUAAACUUCCAGUCUAGAGUUCGAGAGAGGUGAGUGGAAUUCCGAGUGUAGAGGUGAAAUUCGUAGAUAUUCGGAGGAACACCAGUGGCGAAGGCGGCUCACUGGCUCGAUACUGACGCUGAGGUGCGAAAGUGUGGGGAGCAAACAGGAUUAGAUACCCUGGUAGUCCACACCGUAAACGAUGAAUGCCAGUCGUCGGCAAGCAUGCUUGUCGGUGACACACCUAACGGAUUAAGCAUUCCGCCUGGGGAGUACGGUCGCAAGAUUAAAACUCAAAGGAAUGACGGAAUCGUCGACNGNAGGNNUNAUUC
RNAcentral lists this ribosomal RNA (583 nucleotides) under uncultured Rhodobacterales bacterium. RNAcentral describes it as "bacterial SSU rRNA". It matches the Rfam family "Bacterial small subunit ribosomal RNA", at positions 338 to 940 of the family's 1533-position model. The record is from RNAcentral. Lineage: Bacteria; Pseudomonadati; Pseudomonadota; Alphaproteobacteria; Rhodobacterales.